UUGUACCAGAACCCUUCCCCUCAACCGGAGAGCUUCCAGAAGAAUAUGUAAUGCUGAGUACUUAGACAAUGUAACUCAGAUCACAAGGCACAACUGUCUUCUUAACUCAGAUCACAAGACACAAGUGGAAACCCCAGUUGGUGGAUUUUGUGCCUGAUGCCAACUUCUGUUUGCUGCCACCUCCACAGUUGGCUUUCUUUCUUCUGGUACAUUCUCAACCCCAGGACUAUAU
Molecule: long non-coding RNA, 232 nt
Filed under: Lathyrus oleraceus (garden pea)
Lineage: Eukaryota; Viridiplantae; Streptophyta; Magnoliopsida; Fabales; Fabaceae
Description: Pisum sativum (pea) long non-coding RNA (PSAT_LNC028372)
Source: RNAcentral